ACGUAGGGCGCAAGCGUUGUCCGGAAUUAUUGGGCGUAAAGGGCGCGUAGGCGGCCACCGCAAGUCAAUUGUGAAAUCUCCGGGCUUAACUCGGAAAGGUCAACUGAUACUGCGGGGCUAGAGUGCAGAAGGGGCAACUGGAAUUCUCGGUGUAGCGGUGAAAUGCGUAGAUAUCGAGAGGAACACCUGCGGCGAAGGCGGGUUGCUAGGCUGACACUGACGCUGAGGCGCGAAAGCUAGGGGAGCGAACGGGA
Molecule: ribosomal RNA, 254 nt
Filed under: uncultured prokaryote
Description: partial 16S ribosomal RNA
Rfam family: Bacterial small subunit ribosomal RNA
Source: RNAcentral